Molecule: ribosomal RNA, 253 nt
Filed under: uncultured bacterium
Lineage: Bacteria
Description: partial 16S ribosomal RNA
Rfam family: Bacterial small subunit ribosomal RNA
Source: RNAcentral
UACGUAAGGGGCGAGCGUUGUUCGGAAUUAUUGGGCGUAAAGGGUGCGCAGGUGGUUUUUUAAGUGUGUCUGUCAAUUUCGGGGCUCACCCUCGAACCUUGGACGCAAACUGGAAGACUCGAGUCCGCGAGAGGUUAGUGGAACUCCUGGUGUAGCGGUGAAAUGUAUAGAGAUCAGGAAGAACACCUAUGGCGAAGGCAGCUAACUGGCGCUGGACUGACACUGAGGCACGAAAGCUAGGGGAGCAAACGGG